This 472-nucleotide ribosomal RNA is filed under the name uncultured bacterium. RNAcentral describes it as "partial 16S ribosomal RNA". It matches the Rfam family "Bacterial small subunit ribosomal RNA", at positions 28 to 507 of the family's 1533-position model. The record is from RNAcentral.
GACGAACGCUGGCGGCGUGCUUAACACAUGCAAGUCGAACGCUGAAGCUUGGUGCUUGCACUGGGUGGAUGAGUGGCGAACGGGUGAGUAAUACGUGAGUAACCUGCCCUUGACUCUGGGAUAAGCCUGGGAAACUGGGUCUAAUACUGGAUACGACAUGCCACUGCAUGGUGGUGUGUGGAAAGGGUUUUACUGGUUUUGGAUGGGCUCACGUCCUAUCAGCUUGUUGGUGGGGUAAUGGCCUACCAAGGCGACGACGGGUAGCCGGCCUGAGAGGGUGAACGGCGACCCUGGGACUGCGACACGGACCAGACUCCUACGGGAGGCAGCAGUGGGGAAUAUUGCACAAUGGGCGGAAGCCUGAUGAAGCGACGCCGCGUGAGGGAUGACGGCUUUCGGGUUGUAAACCUCUUUCAGCAAGGAAGAAGCGAGAGUGACGGUACGUGAAGAAGAAGCGCCGGCUAACUACGUG